This 530-nucleotide ribosomal RNA is filed under the name Pediococcus acidilactici. Its description in RNAcentral is "bacterial SSU rRNA". It matches the Rfam family "Bacterial small subunit ribosomal RNA", at positions 919 to 1449 of the family's 1533-position model. The record is from RNAcentral. Lineage: Bacteria; Bacillati; Bacillota; Bacilli; Lactobacillales; Lactobacillaceae.
GCCCGCACAAGCGGUGGAAGCAUGUGGUUUAAUUCGAAGCUACGCGAAGAACCUUACCCAGGUCUUGACAUCUUCUGCCAACCUAAGAGAUUAGGCGUUCCCUUCGGGGACAGAAUGACAGGUGGUGCAUGGUUGUCGUCAGCUCGUGUCGUGAGAUGUUGGGUUAAGUCCCGCAACGAGCGCAACCCUUAUUACUAGUUGCCAGCAUUCAGUUGGGCACUCUAGUGAGACUGCCGGUGACAAACCGGAGGAAGGUGGGGACGACGUCAAAUCAUCAUGCCCCUUAUGACCUGGGCUACACACGUGCUACAAUGGAUGGUACAACGAGUCGCGAAACCGCGAGGUUUAGCUAAUCUCUUAAAACCAUUCUCAGUUCGGACUGUAGGCUGCAACUCGCCUACACGAAGUCGGAAUCGCUAGUAAUCGCGGAUCAGCAUGCCGCGGUGAAUACGUUCCCGGGCCUUGUACACACCGCCCGUCACACCAUGAGAGUUUGUAACACCCAAAGCCGGUGGGGUAACCUUAGGAGC